Molecule: ribosomal RNA, 350 nt
Filed under: Clostridioides difficile
Lineage: Bacteria; Bacillati; Bacillota; Clostridia; Peptostreptococcales; Peptostreptococcaceae
Description: partial 23S ribosomal RNA
Rfam family: Bacterial large subunit ribosomal RNA
Source: RNAcentral
GAGAAGACUUUAGAUAUGAUCCAGAGUACCACGGGACACGUGAAACCCUGUGGGAAGCAGGAGGGACCACCCUCCAAGGCUAAAUACUACCUAGUGACCGAUAGCGUAUAGUACCGUGAGGGAAAGGGGAAAAGAACCCCGGGAGGGGAGUGAAAUAGAACCUGAAACCCUGCACUUACAAGCUGUGGAAGCACAUUUCUUGUGUGACCGCGUACUUUUUGUAGAACGGGCCAACGAGUUACGUUAAGUAGCAAGGUUAAGCACUUAAGGUGCGGAGCCGUAGCGAAAGCGAGUUUUAACUGAGCGUUCAGUUACUUGACGUAGACCCGAAACCGGGCGACCUACCCAUG